UAGGGAAUCUUCGGCAAUGGACGGAAGUCUGACCGAGCAACGCCGCGUGAGUGAAGAAGGUUUUCGGAUCGUAAAGCUCUGUUGUAAGAGAAGAACGAGUGUGAGAGUGGAAAGUUCACACUGUGACGGUAUCUUACCAGAAAGGGACGGCUAACUACGUGCCAGCAGCCGCGGUAAUACGUAGGUUCCGAGCGUUGUCCGGAUUUAUUGGGCGUAAAGCGAGCGCAGGCGGUUAGAUAAGUCUGAAGUUAAAGGCUGUGGCUUAACCAUAGUAGGCUUUGGAAACUGUUUAACUUGAGUGCAAGAGGGGAGAGUGGAAUUCCAUGUGUAGCGGUGAAAUGCGUAGAUAUAUGGAGGAACACCGGUGGCGAAAGCGGCUCUCUGGCUUGUAACUGACGCUGAGGCUCGAAAGCGUGGGGAGCAAACAGGAUUAGAUACCCUGGUAGUCCACGCUGUAAACGAUGAGUGCUAGGUGUUAGACCCUUUCCGGGGUUUAGUGCCGUAGCUAACGCAUUAAGCACUCCGCCUGGGGAGUACGACCGCAAGGUUG
This 550-nucleotide ribosomal RNA is filed under the name uncultured bacterium. Its description in RNAcentral is "bacterial SSU rRNA". It matches the Rfam family "Bacterial small subunit ribosomal RNA", at positions 355 to 896 of the family's 1533-position model. The record is from RNAcentral.